This 459-nucleotide ribosomal RNA is filed under the name uncultured bacterium. RNAcentral's name for it is "SSU rRNA". It matches the Rfam family "Bacterial small subunit ribosomal RNA", at positions 26 to 518 of the family's 1533-position model. The record is from RNAcentral.
AGAAUCAACGCUGGCGGCGUGCCUAACACAUGCAAGUCGCACGAGAAAGGGGAGCAAUCCCUGAGUACAGUGGCGCACGGGUGAGUAACACGUGAAUCAUCUACCUCCGAGUGGGGAAUAACUGAGAGAAAUCUUAGCUAAUACCGCAUAAUACCCACGGGUCAAAGCAGCAAUGCGCUUGGAGAGGAGUUCGCGGCAGAUUAGUUAGUUGGCGGGGUAAUGGCCCACCAAGACGAUGAUCUGUAUCCGGCCUGAGAGGGCGCACGGACACACUGGAACUGAAACACGGUCCAGACUCCUACGGGAGGCAGCAGUGGGGAAUUUUGCGCAAUGGGGGAAACCCUGACGCAGCAACGCCGCGUGGAGGAUGAAGCCACUUGGGGUGUAAACUCCUUUCGAUCGGGAAGAUAAUGACGGUACCGAUAUAAGAAGCCCGGCUAACUUCGCGCCAGCAGCCGC